AGUGAACGCUGGCGGUAGGCCUAACACAUGCAAGUCGAACGGCAGCACAGUAAGAGCUUGCUCUUACAGGUGGCGAGUGGCGGACGGGUGAGGAAUACAUCGGAAUCUACUUUUUCGUGGGGGAUAACGUAGGGAAACUUACGCUAAUACCGCAUACGACCUACGGGUGAAAGCAGGGGAUCUUCGGACCUUGCGCGAUUGAAUGAGCCGAUGUCGGAUUAGCUAGUUGGCGGGGUAAAGGCCCACCAAGGCGACGAUCCGUAGCUGGUCUGAGAGGAUGAUCAGCCACACGGGAACUGAGACACGGUCCAGACUCCUACGGGAGGCAGCAGUGGGGAAUAUUGGACAAUGGGCGCAAGCCUGAUCCAGCCAUACCGCGUGGGUGAAGAAGGCCUUCGGGUUGUAAAGCCCUUUUGUUGGGAAAGAAAAGCAGCAGGUUAAUACCCCGCUGUUCUGACGGUACCCAAAGAAUAAGCACCGGCUAACUUCGUG
This 492-nucleotide ribosomal RNA is filed under the name uncultured bacterium. Its description in RNAcentral is "partial 16S ribosomal RNA". It matches the Rfam family "Bacterial small subunit ribosomal RNA", at positions 29 to 507 of the family's 1533-position model. The record is from RNAcentral.